Molecule: ribosomal RNA, 1308 nt
Filed under: uncultured bacterium
Lineage: Bacteria
Description: bacterial SSU rRNA
Rfam family: Archaeal small subunit ribosomal RNA
Source: RNAcentral
ACCCGACUGCUAUCAGAGUGGGACUAAGCCAUGCGAGUCGACAUAGCAAUAUGUGGCAUACGGCUCAGUAACACGUAGUCAACAUGCCCAGGGGACGUGGAUAACCUCGGGAAACUGAGGAUAAACCGCGAUAGGUCAUCACCUCUGGAAUGGGUAAUGACUUAAAUCUAUAUGGCCCCUGGAUUGGACUGCGGCCGAUCAGGCUGUUGGUGAGGUAAUGGCCCACCAAACCUGUAACCGGUACGGGCUCUGAGAGGAGGAGCCCGGAGAUGGGCACUGAGACAAGGGCCCAGGCCCUAUGGGGCGCAGCAGGCGCGAAACCUCUGCAAUAGGCGAAAGCUUGACAGGGUUACUCUGAGUGAUUUCCGUUAAGGAGAUCUUUUGGCACCUCUAAAAAUGGUGCAGAAUAAGGGGUGGGCAAGUCUGGUGUCAGCCGCCGCGGUAAUACCAGCACCCCGAGUGGUCGGGACGUUUAUUGGGCCUAAAGCAUCCGUAGCCGGUUCUACAAGUCUUCCGUUAAAUCCACCUGCUUAACAGAUGGGCUGCGGAAGAUACUAUAGAGCUAGGAGGCGGGAGAGGCAAGCGGUACUCGAUGGGUAGGGGUAAAAUCCGUUGAUCCAUUGAAGACCACCAGUGGCGAAGGCGGCUUGCCAGAACGCGCUCGACGGUGAGGGAUGAAAGCUGGGGGAGCAAACCGGAUUAGAUACCCGGGUAGUCCCAGCUGUAAACGAUGCAGACUCGGUGAUGAGUUGGCUUAUUGCUAACUCAGUGCCGCAGGGAAGCCGUUAAGUUUGCCGCCUGGGGAGUACGGUCGCAAGACUGAAACUUAAAGGAAUUGGCGGGGGAGCACCACAAGGGGUGAAGCCUGCGGUUCAAUUGGAGUCAACGCCGGAAAUCUUACCGGGGGCGACAGCAGAGUGAAGGUCAAGCUGAAGACUUUACCAGACAAGCUGAGAGGAGGUGCAUGGCCGUCGCCAGCUCGUGCCGUGAGGUGUCCUGUUAAGUCAGGUAACGAGCGAGAUCCCUGCCUCUAGUUGCUACCAUUAUUCUCAGGAGUAGUGGAGCUAAUUAGAGGGACCGCCGUCGCUGAGACGGAGGAAGGUGGGGGCUACGGCAGGUCAGUAUGCCCCGAAACCCUCGGGCCACACGCGGGCUGCAAUGGUAAGGACAAUGAGUUUCGAUUCCGAAAGGAGGAGGCAAUCUCUAAACCUUACCACAGUUAUGAUUGAGGGCUGAAACUCGCCCUCAUGAAUAUGGAAUCCCUAGUAACCGCGUGUCACUAUCGCGCGGUGAAUACGUCCCUGCUCC